Molecule: RNase P RNA, 305 nt
Filed under: Candidatus Egerieousia excrementavium
Lineage: Bacteria; Pseudomonadati; Bacteroidota; Bacteroidia; Bacteroidales
Description: RNase P RNA component class A
Rfam family: Bacterial RNase P class A
About the family: Ribonuclease P (RNase P) is a ubiquitous endoribonuclease, found in archaea, bacteria and eukarya as well as chloroplasts and mitochondria. Its best characterised activity is the generation of mature 5'-ends of tRNAs by cleaving the 5'-leader elements of precursor-tRNAs.
Source: RNAcentral
CCGGCAGACCGUUUCAUCGCCCGAAAGGGAGGAAAGUCCGGACAAGACAGAGCAUUGCACUGCGGAAAGCGCAGAUGGGUGAAAGCUUAUGCGUAAGGUAACAGAAAACAACCGCCGUAAGGCAAGGGUGAAAAUGUGGGGUAAGAGCCCACAGGGUAUUUUGGCGACAAUAUGCCCGUACCGCGCUGCAACUUGCAAGGCCAUGUAUACCGGCGUUUAAGGGCUGCUCGUCCGUUGCCGGGGGGUAGGCUGCAAAGAUAAAUGAUGGAACUCGACAGAAUCCGGCUUACAGGUCUGCCUAAGGA